RNAcentral lists this ribosomal RNA (459 nucleotides) under uncultured bacterium. RNAcentral describes it as "partial 16S ribosomal RNA". It matches the Rfam family "Bacterial small subunit ribosomal RNA", at positions 338 to 795 of the family's 1533-position model. The record is from RNAcentral.
CCUACGGGAUGCUGCAGUGAGGAAUAUUGGUCAAUGGGCGAGAGCCUGAACCAGCCAAGUCGCGUGAGGGAAGACGGUCCUAUGGAUUGUAAACCUCUUUUGCCGGGGAGCAAAAAGCGGUACGUGUACCGCAUCGAGAGUACCCGGAGAAAAAGCAUCGGCUAACUCCGUGCCAGCAGCCGCGGUAAUACGGAGGAUGCGAGCGUUAUCCGGAUUUAUUGGGUUAAAGGGGUGCGCAGGCGGCGAGUUAAGUCAGCGGUAAAAUUUCGGGGCUCAACCCCGACGAGCCGUUGAAACUGGCUUGCUAGAGUUGGAGAGAAGUAUGCGGAAUGCGCGGUGUAGCGGUGAAAUGCAUAGAUAUCGCGCAGAACUCCGAUUGCGAAGGCAGCAUGCCGGCUCCACACUGACGCUGAGGCACGAAAGCGUGGGUAUCGAACAGGAUUAGAUACCCCAGUAGUC